GCUUCCGCUCCCGCCCCCGCCGUCUGAGGUUGGUGAUUCGUCGACAGCGCCAUCCUGGGCCCGCCCCUUCCGGCUCACUUCGCACUCUCUGAUUGGUCACGUCGCGGGGGCUGUAAGGAUGCGUAUCAGGAUUAGAAAGUUGGAAGAACAGGUGGGUGAAAGUUGUUGGGUUCGUUACCUGAUGGCCCGAUGGCCCGUGAGAAGGAUUCUGGAAGCUGAAAGAGUUGUUUGAGAACACUUGAGGAGCACAUACUACAUUCUUCUGCUGACUGUAUUCCAGCCUUAAGAAAGCCCGGGCUAGCUAGCAAAGAGGAAAGGCCAUGUGAGGAUGCAGCAGAAAGCCGCUGUCUGCAACCCAAGGAAAGACAGCUCUCACCAGACACUGACCCUGCUAGCACCUUGAUCUUGGCUUUCGUUCUCCAGAACUGGGCAGAGUUGAUCCCUAAACCAGAAUUCCACCUCCAAGUAAUGUUUACUGUCAUACAUGACAGCUACAAGACCAAAGGAAUUCUUGGACACCUGGUGAGGAGGUUUGUGAAUUGAACUGAGCAUGCAGGAGCAUCUCAAGCUUGGACAUUAGAAGUGGACACUUGCACCAUAUAUACAGAGUUCAUGAUGACCUAAACUGUCAUUUGGCAGCCACUCAGGAGGGGCAUGUUCUCCUAAGGGCAAUUGCAGUUAAAUUCUGAUAUGAGGGAUGUUUGGAUACACAGAAAAACUUAACAGCCAUGCUCCGAAGAGCCUGAAAUAGAGUUCCUAGGGUGAUGUACAUGAGCAUCCAACAGAAAAGUCAUGCUCCUUCACAGCAAAUGGGACUGAAGUUGAGGCUAGGAGGCUCCAGUGUCCAAGGGCAGGCUGCUGAAAGUUGCAGGUCAAAUAGUUAGUAGCAAAAACACUGAAACUGGGAAUGGGUGAACAGAGCUGCUAUAAGGGAUCCAAGAGGAUCUGGUCAGGUCUCCAACAGUGUCUGCUACAUAUGCCUAAAGGAAUUCGCUCCUCCAGCGUGAUGGUGCCAGUGCAAAGCGAAGCAAUUGUAAGGCACCCGGAGCCCUGAAAUCUUUAAUAUUGGAUCCACCCGGGACUAGUGGGGCCAUUCUGGAGACCAUCUGGCAGUAUGUAGGGAUAUUAACUCUGCAAAAACUCUGUGAUCCAGCAGCAAUCCUACUCCUCUUUAAUUGUCCCAGAGAAAUCCACAAGUCUCCAUGGAGGUUUGUAUGAAGAUGUACAACGUAGCCUUGUUUGUGGUAGCAAAGGACUAGAUCAAUUAAAUGUAAGAUAUAUAUAUAUAUAUAUAAAAUGUCCCACAUGUACAGGUUUUCCCCCUUGCAUGCAUGGAUCAUUCAUUAAUUAUUGUCUUGUUCUGCAAGGGCUUUAAAUAUAUUCUAGAUCUGUCUUAUAUAUUAUUUUUAUAAUUUGAAGAGCAAAAAUUAUUGUUGUUAUUAUUAUUAUUUUUUUUUUUGGUGAGGAAGAUUGGCCCUGAGCUGCCAUCUCUUGCCAGUCUUCCUCUUUUUGCUGAAGAAGAUUAGCCCUGAGCUAACAUCUGUGCCCAUCUUCUUCCAUUUUGUAUAUGGGAUGCUGCCACAUCAUGGCUUGAUCAGCGGUGCGUAUGUCUGCACCCAGGAUCCGAACCUGCAAAUCCCGGGCUGCCAAAGCGGAGUGCACGAACUUAACCACUACCCCAGCGGGCCAGCCUGCAAAAAUUAUUUUUAAAGAAAAUAAUAAAAUUGAGAAAUUGAGCUAAAAAUGUGAAAAAAGCAGCAGAAUAAUGAGUAGCAGAUUAUGUGGACAAUAUCCUCCAAGAUGAAGAAAGGAAGUGGUACAGCCAUUCUGCCCCUUUCUAAGGCCACGUGGGUUUUCCUUUGGGAAGUCACCCCCUCCCUCCCCGCAGCCCCUCACUCCAGCUCCAGGAGUUGGCUCUGCUUGGCCUAAGCUGGUCAGCAGAAUUCCAUCCCUCUUAAUAGGGUCUAGAUUGAGAGCAGGGGACAGUGAUCUAGGCCUAACCCCAUUAGGUUUCAAAAAAUGAAGAAAAGAUUGGACCUACAAGAUUGUUUUUUCAUUAGGCACAAAUGUAUGCCUAAAAAGCCUAAAAGGGCACAUAUGUUCCCCUUACCUACCACAUUUAGUAGAUUUUCUCAUGUCAGAAUAUUUUUAAAAAUACAAAAAUUUAACUGCACUUAAUCCCAAUUGUCACACUUUGAGAGAAAUAAGAGAACUAUAGUUCAUGGAAAAAUGGCUUUAUUCUGUAAAAACUUGCAUAAAUGGAGUGAGUCAGAGGUGUGCCCUGUAGUGCCUAGGGCCUGUGAUUUGGCUGGUCUUGUGAUAUUAUGUAGUCUGGGCAGGGUUCUUUACUCUCUCCCAUCUGGAACAAAUCUGUCGCCUGACACCAAAUAACAAUUUUAUCUACGGUCAUAGAAUCAAAUUCAAUUAAAGAUGAUCAGUUCUACAUAGAUAAAUUAGGUAAGGGGACUGUGGUUUAGGACCAAAAGGGAAAAAUUUGUGGAAUUCUCUAUAUUCCCUUAGGAAGAUUCCAUGACUCUUCUGAUUAUAUCUAGGUUUGGCAUUGCUGUUCCUAAUUUAUUACCUCCCAGGAAGAAACAUAGAAUCUACUGAAUAAUAUUGAUGCUAAAACCUUGGGAAACCAUAAGAUAUUAGGACUUCUGGCUUCAUCAGAUCAAAAGUAAACUCUGCUGGGCUGGCCCCGUGGUGUAGCGGUUAAGUGUGUGAGCUACGCUACUGUUGGCUGGGGUUCGGAUCCAGGCGCGCACAGACGCACCGCUUGUCAGGCCACACUGUGGCAGCGUCCCACAUAAAAUGGAGGAAGAUCUGUAGGGAUGUUAGCUCAGGGACAGUCU
Molecule: long non-coding RNA, 2852 nt
Organism: Diceros bicornis minor
Lineage: Eukaryota; Metazoa; Chordata; Mammalia; Perissodactyla; Rhinocerotidae
Exons: 6
Source: RefSeq, a predicted model, not a curated record